This 253-nucleotide ribosomal RNA is filed under the name uncultured bacterium. Its description in RNAcentral is "partial 16S ribosomal RNA". It matches the Rfam family "Bacterial small subunit ribosomal RNA", at positions 524 to 776 of the family's 1533-position model. The record is from RNAcentral.
UACGUAGGGUGCGAGCGUUGUCCGGAAUUAUUGGGCGUAAAGGGCUCGUAGGCGGUUUGUCGCGUCGGGAGUGAAAACCUCGGGCUUAACUCGGGGCUUGCUUUCGAUACGGGCAGACUGGAGGUAUGCAGGGGAGAACGGAAUUCCUGGUGUAGCGGUGAAAUGCGCAGAUAUCGGGAGGAACACCAAUGGCGAAGGCAGCUUGCUGGGACGGUACUGACGCUGAGGCGCGAAAGCGUGGGGAGCAAACAGG